CAGCAUCCUCAAGUUCCUCUGCUCACUCCCACAUAUGGCGCCUGCUGUCUCUGUUGGUGCUCAUUCUUUGCCUCCUGAAGCUGAUCGGAUUAGCGUUGUUCGGGAUCAGAUUUUUCCAAGCACAGAGUCAAGAAAAUGGAGAAGCAACAUCGCCCAACGACAAGCCAGGCAACCCACAUGCAGAUAGGAGUUGGAGCUGUUCCAAACAGCUGGAACAUCUCUCGUCCCAGAACUCCAACCUGUCUGCUGCUUUGCGGGAAAUGUCUACAAAACUUUGCCAAGGAAUCACCAGGAACCAGCCAGGACUUUGUAUCAUCCAACCUACAAUUUUGCCACUGGGUGGGUUUAUUGCGAAAAAAAGACAGCAACCAGUGGAAGUGGGUGGAUGGCUCAACUCUCUCUCCUGAACUGAAAUUAUUUUUCUCACCUGAUGAGACUGAAGGCAGGAUGUGUGCUUAUAACUUGGGAAAUCUCAUUUGUUCAACAUUUUGCAAGAAUACUUAUCACUUCAUCUGUGAGAAGGCAGCUAGUCUGGUGAGACCGGAGCUGCAAAUUUAGGCAUCGAAUAAGAAACCGAGGAGAGGCUGAGAUGAGAGUACUGAAGACUUGGAAGAUCUCUCUGGACACCUGAGGGCCAGGCUGCAGGGCAGAGGCUGUGUUGCUGGGGGCCUUGCUGGUUUUGUACUCUCCCAAGCUGAAUUGUCACUUCUAAGACCCCUCCUGAUUGGUGGGUCCAGGCCAGGCCCCUGUAGACCCCAACUUCUCCCUAUUCCAGGUCUCAUCUUUCAGCUUUAUUGCCUAAUACACACAUAGGGACUUGUUCAACUCCAGACUUUUCGCUCCCUGCCUAACACCCACACAAACACACACACACGCACAGAGGCAAAUACUGAAAACCACCCAGGCACAUAAACAUCCUGAUCGUCUAGGCUUCUUCUCAUCUUUUUAGACAUGUUCUCAGUAAGUCACCUUUCCACUCCUUAGGACCCUGCCCAGAAGGAAGGCUAUUUUCUAAAAAAUGUCAAUGACUCUCCUGUUGAUAUCAGUUGGAACCCAGCCAAUUGCAGGGAAAAGAAUGAGUCAAGGAGGGAGGAGCUAGAAAAUUGCAGACCACAGGACAUCUGCUAGGGAAAGUGGAGCAGAGCUUCCUGAGAUUGGGAAGCCAAGGAAAUAGAUAAAAGAAUGACUGCAUGAUGAUGAAUAAUGCAGUUUUCUCAAGAUCUGAUUUAAGGACUCCAGUAUGCAGUCUCUAUAACUAGCAAGUUCUGGUUGUCAAUUCAUGAGCAAAAUGAGUUCCAAAGUCACUGCUAUUAGAGGAAUGAGUGGCUUUGGAUGGACUGGACUUCACAGAGAAGAGGCUCGGCAUUCAUUCUUCGGCCCUAAAUCCAGAUGUCAGACCUUCAGGGGGCAGGACUAGUUGUGGAAGCUUCCCAUGUCUUUGCGGGAACCAGAUUUAAAGGAUGUUAGAUGAGAGCAAGAAGCCCCUGGGCUCCAGUGGGGGUCAUCAGAGGGAGCGCCACGUCACCCCCAGGAAUGGGCUCUGUUAAAAUUCUGGUCAAUUGGAGUGCAGUGGAGCUGGGAGGAAUCCCUCAAAAAGUGAUCAGUACAUCACAUACACCAAAGCCCAUUCCAAUAACAGACACACACAAGCACACACUGUUCAUGAAGAUAAGAAGUAAUCCCAGUCUUCAGGUUAACCUGACUUGCAGUGGACUAAACUGGUAAUCAGUGAGUCUCACAGUGACAGUGGGAUCUCAUUCACCAGUCACUGGAGACUAGGCUAGAUCACAGGGCAACAGAAAUAAUUCUGCAUGCUAAGGAAAGGACUCUGACAUCCAUGCACCUCACUCAGUGUGA
Molecule: long non-coding RNA, 1857 nt
Organism: Ornithorhynchus anatinus (platypus)
Lineage: Eukaryota; Metazoa; Chordata; Mammalia; Monotremata; Ornithorhynchidae
Exons: 4
Source: RefSeq, a predicted model, not a curated record